CAAAUCCUUUUGAAUUAGUUGUUGCUUCGGUCUUCUGGUCUUCUGCAAUGCUAGGCGUGAUUAAAUCCUUUGAACAGUCUUUGAAGCUUUAAAUCUCUCAUCUUCUGAUGAACUUCAACUUCUAGUGAUAUUGCUUCUGAUGAACUUGCUUCUGAUGACGUCAUCACUUCAGGAACACUUGACUUCAGGAGCACUUUUCUUCAGAUGCUUCAAGCUUCCUUCUUGUUGAUUCCAUUGCUCUCAUUUGUUCUUCUAGAACCUAUACUUUAAAUAGACACUAAAUUUUUGUCUAUGGUCCUGCACACUUUAACAAAUAUUUGCAUAAACAUCAGAGCAUUUCAACCUAAACGGAAUGGCACACUACUUUUCAUAAAAUCAUAAAUAAAAUAAAAUUACUAUUUAUUAUUCAACUUCAACAACAUAUAAUUUAUUACAUCGCAGCGGAAAUUAUUCAACAUUUAAACAACUUUGGCACCAAGGCCUCAACAUAAAUCUCAUAAAAUGGUUCCAACAACAUGUCCUUAAAAUUUCAUAAAACAAUACGUAAGGAACAUAGAGCAAUAACAAAUUCCCAUCCCGUUACGUAUCAGAGCACCUAAGACACACGUGAGAGAAGGUCCCCUCACGACAGCAACUAACAGCAACUAUUCUCGAUCACCUGCUAGUUACCCAUACGAAGAGCAACAUUUCCAAGCAGAAGGGGUGAGAUUCACAAACAAUAAUAAUAGGUAUAUAAAACAUCAACUGUAUUUAACAACCUAAUUAACAACGGAUAAUUCAACAGUCUUGUUUCAUACUUCAUCAACAUUAACAACACCUACAAACUCAACCAACAACGACGACAACAACUCAACCAACAACAACGACUAUGCAACGACACAACGACAAAUGUGAUAAUGCACAUGCAUGUGGUACCAUUUUAACGCGUUUGAAUGAACGAGCAUUCACAGGGCAUAAGCCCUCAACAAUUUAAAUAAAAUAGCAUUCACAGGGCAUGAGCCCUCAACAAUUUGAAUGAUUAAGCAUUCACAGGGCAUGAGCCCUCAACAGUUGAACGACAAGGCAUUCACAGGGCAUAAGCCCUCAACAAUUUAUGAGUACGCAAUGGACUCAACUUUGUGUAUAUCAACAUACAACUCAUCUACAACAACGACAGCAUGGACAAUGACAUCUACUACACUACAAUGCAUAUUGAAAUAUGACUUACACCUCAACAUGGUCAACUCGUGACACAACAACUUUUGACAAUGGAAUUCAACAACUUUGUAUAUUUUAGUUAAAUGCAAUUAUACAUAAGUCAACAAUCAACAAUCAAUCAUAUUCAAAUCAACAGCUCUGGUAAAAAUAACAUAAUUAAUCCUAAUUAUUUAUUCUACCUAAAGAAUCCAACCCAACAGUACACGCUACAAGGUACACGAAACACCAGAUAUUCACGUCAAACCAAAUUAGAUUCAUCACAACAUAGGUUAAAUACUAAUAAACACCUUAAUUGAACUCAUAGUACUUCUAAUUUUGAGCUUUUGAAUUAUUCCAUAAGUUUUGGAUUAACUUAGAAAUGGUUAUGCUGAAUUUUCAUAAGAUUUGACUAAGACCUCCUUGGAGUAUUUUCAUCAUAUCUCAAAAACUAAAAAUAAUUUUCAAGUCAAAUCAAAACCAUUGGAAAGCUAACAAAAUUAUCUAUAAUUUCCAUGUUUACACCAAAGGCCAAUUCAUAACAUAAACGUGUGAAAAAGACGCAAGAACAUAAAACAGGGUAUGCUGUCACUGAGCAAUUUUGCUAAUGGCGAAAAGUUAGCGAAUAGCAAAAUUGUUAAGAGUGUUUCGCCAAUAGCGAUCUCCUAGCGAGUUUUUCCCUUGCUGUUACGAUUUCUGCACAUUUUCACCCAAAAAAACCAAAUUUCAUCUACCCAAAUUUGAUAGGAAACUUAACCUAUGAUUAUUCUACAACCUGAACAUCAAUUCUUAAAACAAUUGCCAUGAUUUCUACACUUUUCUAAUCGAACUCAACAAUGGAAAACCUAAUUCCCAAUUCCCAAAUUUAACCAAAACCCCUUGUUAAAUCAAGAUCAGAAUUAUACAAACUAUAAUCAUUGAGAGUUAGUCUCACCCUUACUUUAAUUCUGACGAACGAAGUUCUACGAUCUCUCCGGUUCUUCACUUGGCUCUUCUCCCUUUUUCUCCCCCAAAGACUUGUUUUCACGUGAAAUGUUUUUCUGACUUCUCAAUUUCUUAACUCCUUAACUUAACACCCAUUUAUUUUAAUUAACCCCACACAACUCUCCUUAUUUCUAAUUCAGCCCCUAAACUCCAGUUAUUUCUAAUUCCCAUAUAUUCUAAUAAAUAAUAAAAAUAUAACAUUUAAUAAAAUACAACACACCACAAAAUCAACAUAAUUCAUAUAAGUCAUAUAAAAGACUUUAAAUCAACCAAAAUAUUUAAAUGAAUAAAUAGGGCGUUACAUAAUGUUAAACGCAUUUUGUUCCAACACAUUUCAGUAUCAGAAAACAUAGCUUAUGUUGCUGAACCAAUCAAUGCAGCAAAGCAUGAGAACUCAUAAAAAGGUGCAUUUUAUUCUAGUCUUGAACCUGUCAUUGAAACUGCACCUACCUUAGCCUCUGUUAGUCAUUUAUAUGUUGAAUCAGGAACAUCUCAUUAACCAGAUUGGACCUUAGGUGGUUCAAUGGACUCUGAUGAUGAAAUGCCUGAUGUUAAUGCGGACAGUAAGCCUACCACUUCAUCUCAACCCAGUCUUGACCUACCAUCUACUUCUACAUCUCAAACUAUCCCAGACCAACCUACAACAUCUCAAACCAUCAGAGUGUCACCUCCUUCUACCCUUUUGCUAGACUCUGUUGUAUUAAAUGAGAUAUGUGAACUGAUUUUUUAGGAUCUGACAAACCUUGUCAAGACAAGAAAUAAAAUCUAGUUCAAACUAAAAAUUAUGAAGAUAAGUGGUUGGAGCUAAGGGAAAGAGUUGAUAGAAUCUUGUGUGAUACGCAAAGGCUAUCUGUAAAAGCUCAAAAUCAGUCUCUAAACAGCUGGUUCAAGGAAGUCAUCAAGAAUAUGGAAGAAACGGAAGUCAUAAGGAACAAGUUAUACAUAUCAGACUCUCCAUUCUUCCUGGAUGCCUCUUCAGUCAUAUCCUCAUCUGUCAAAGAGGAUCUGAACAUUUCUUGGUUGACUCGGCUGCAUGGCAAGCCUCAGAUUCCGAUUAUUGAGCAACUGAAGAAACCAGAGCCUGUUGAAGAUAUAAGAGUUGAGAAAUUGGAGCAAGAAUUGUUUGAGCAGAAGAUGUUGUCUGAAAAAUUUAAGAGACAAAUGUCAGAGAUAAAAGAAGAAUACAAGGCACGUGAGGAAGCACAAGCCAAGAGAUCAGAUGCUCUAGAAGAGACCUUGAAGAAACAAUAUGAAGAGAUGAAGACAAUGAUGGCUAAAAUGAUGGAUUUGGUGAAGAAACAACACAAACCUUAGAAUGCACACUUUUUUUUUUUCUUUUUCUGAUCACAUUGUUUUAUUUAUGCUCCUGAUACUUGUUUCAUAUCUUUUGCUCUGAUAUUUUGCCUGCUCUGACAAUAUUGUGAUUAUUAUCCAUUGAUAUAUAUGUUAACCAUGCCUUGAUUGUACUUAGAAUUAUCUCAUGUUUUUCUUACGUCUCUUAUUGGUAUUUAUUGUACUUUUUGUUAAUGACGAAAGGGGGAGUAGAUAUGGUAUACAUUUAGACUCUGAGUCCCACUAAUUUAACUUAAAAUUUAAUUAGGAGAAACUGCUUCUCAUCUCUUAGUCUUUAGAAUUAUUUUGAGUGAUGUUUUUAAGUUUAAAAUGAAUUUAAUUAACAUGGAUAGACUUAAGGGGAGCUUACAAACCUCAUACCCUAAAGUCAACUUGUUAAUUAGAUUAACAACAAUGGACCUUUAAUAGGGGGAGAUUGUUGGAACAAAAUGUGUUUAACAUUACCACCUUAAAUUUUGAUGAUAACAAGGUAUUAAAAUGUCAAUUGAAAUAUGCUAAUAUUUGUUCAAGUGUGCAUGACCAUAGACAGAAAGUUAUAUGUCUUUAAUUCAAGUAUAGGUUUUGGAAGAACAAAAAAGAGCAAUGGAAAUUACAAAAAGGAAGCUUCAAGACAGAGACUGAAGAUAAAAAGCGUCUGAAGACCAUCAGAAGCUGUCUACCAGAAGCUGACGUCAUCGGAGAGUCUGAAGAACCAUUAGAAGCUGGAGUUCAUCAGAGUCUAAAGACUGGAAGCUGAAGUUAGUUAAAUGUUGUUAUUCUUAAUGCAUAUCAUUGCGGAAGGAAUGCAAGCCGAGAGCAACGACUAUUUCAGAGAAAUUAGAAGGCAUUGGAUGUUUAUCCACUGAAAAGCGCAGGAAAAGGAUAUAGUACAAUUGUACAACCACUACCUCCACUACUCCACUCCUCAUGUCUGCAGUAGUACAAGAUAACAGUUGCGGCUACGCUGGUUAUUCUCUAUUCAAGGAAUGAAUUUGGAAUUGUUCCCUCCUAUGACAAUAACCAAAUCAAGCAACAGAUCAUUGGUGAUUAUCAAUCUUCAACAACGACUCUUUUGAUGUGCUGGCAAUCAACAACGUCUACACUACCAAAAAAAAUCAACAACAUCUCUUUCACACCUCUAAAAAAAUCACAUAAAAAUCGUCAAAAAAAUGCUAAGACAUUGUGUUUUGAAUUAGAAUAAUUAUUAAAUUUAUGAUAUGUACAUCAAAGUGUUGCAUUUGUCCCUAUAGCUUACUUAAUAAAGAGGUCACAUAAAAAUACAUAUCUAGCCAUGAAGACG
RNAcentral lists this long non-coding RNA (4789 nucleotides) under Medicago truncatula (barrel medic). RNAcentral's name for it is "long non-coding RNA (MTRU_LNC007093)". The record is from RNAcentral. Lineage: Eukaryota; Viridiplantae; Streptophyta; Magnoliopsida; Fabales; Fabaceae.